RNAcentral lists this ribosomal RNA (429 nucleotides) under Hydrogenophaga sp. Its description in RNAcentral is "bacterial SSU rRNA". It matches the Rfam family "Bacterial small subunit ribosomal RNA", at positions 355 to 776 of the family's 1533-position model. The record is from RNAcentral. Lineage: Bacteria; Pseudomonadati; Pseudomonadota; Betaproteobacteria; Burkholderiales; Comamonadaceae.
UGGGGAAUUUUGGACAAUGGGCGCAAGCCUGAUCCAGCAAUGCCGCGUGCAGGAAGAAGGCCUUCGGGUUGUAAACUGCUUUUGUACGGAACGAAAAGGCUCUGGUUAAUACCUGGGGCACAUGACGGUACCGUAAGAAUAAGCACCGGCUAACUACGUGCCAGCAGCCGCGGUAAUACGUAGGGUGCAAGCGUUAAUCGGAAUUACUGGGCGUAAAGCGUGCGCAGGCGGUUUUGUAAGACAGGCGUGAAAUCCCCGGGCUUAACCUGGGAAUUGCGUUUGUGACUGCAAGGCUGGAGUGCGGCAGAGGGGGAUGGAAUUCCGCGUGUAGCAGUGAAAUGCGUAGAUAUGCGGAGGAACACCGAUGGCGAAGGCAAUCCCCUGGGCCUGCACUGACGCUCAUGCACGAAAGCGUGGGGAGCAAACAGG